RNAcentral lists this ribosomal RNA (343 nucleotides) under uncultured bacterium. Its description in RNAcentral is "bacterial SSU rRNA". It matches the Rfam family "Bacterial small subunit ribosomal RNA", at positions 28 to 371 of the family's 1533-position model. The record is from RNAcentral.
GACGAACGCUGGCGGCGUGCUUAACACAUGCAAGUCGAGCGGUAAGGCCCUUUCGGGGGGUACACGAGCGGCGAACGGGUGAGUAACACGUGGGUGACCUGCCCUCAGCUCUGGGAUAAGCCUGGGAAACCGGGUCUAAUACUGGAUAUGACUCCAUGACGCAUGUUGUGGGGUGGAAAGCCUUGUGCGGCUGAGGAUGGGCCCGCGGCCUAUCAGCUUGUUGGUGGGGUGAUGGCCUACCAAGGCGACGACGGGUAGCCGGCCUGAGAGGGCGACCGGCCACACUGGGACUGAGACACGGCCCAGACUCCUACGGGAGGCAGCAGUGGGGAAUCUUGCGCAA